Colius striatus (speckled mousebird) is the source of this 455-nucleotide long non-coding RNA. RefSeq lists it as uncharacterized. The record is from RefSeq and is a predicted model, not a curated record. Lineage: Eukaryota; Metazoa; Chordata; Aves; Coliiformes; Coliidae. The transcript is spliced from 3 exons.
ACAUCAGCUGUUCCCUGUGUGAUGGUGCCAAUCCCUUACCAACUCUUUUUGGGAAAACUAUGCAGCGAGGAAAAGAAAAAAGCUCCAGCUUCCAUGAGAAGGUUCAACAUGGGAAAGUCCUGCACCUUGGGAGGAACAACUCCCUGCAUCAGUAUGGGCUGGGGAUUGACCUACUGGAAAGCAGCUCUGCAGAGAGAGACCUGGGAGUACUGGUCGAUCAUAAACUAACCAUGAGCCAGCAAUGUGUCCUCAUGGUCAAGAAGGCCGAUGACAUCCUGAGGUGCAUCAAGAAAAGCGUUCUCAGCAGAUUGAGAGCUUUGUGGAAGAAAGGAAGAAAGAAUCUAUCCCGUAAAGAACAACACAACAGUUUGCAAACUGAACUCUCUGAUGUAUGCAAGUGUGUCUGCUGGCCUGCAGAUGCAGACACAUCAAAACUGAAGUCAACCUUAUGAGAA